This is a non-coding RNA of Odocoileus virginianus texanus, 1073 nucleotides long. NCBI's taxonomy places the organism in Eukaryota, Metazoa, Chordata, Mammalia, Artiodactyla, Cervidae. The record is from RefSeq and is a predicted model, not a curated record.
UGUUGAUGUGUGGCAGAACCACCACAACAUUGUAAUUAGCCUCCAAUUAAGUAAAUUAAUUUUUAAAAAGCCCUCUUGCUUUAAUGCUGUUUCACACCACGCACACAGGUGAGACCUGGAAACUCCUGGAAGAUCAGGUGAGACCGUGAAGGGGCCUGCGACCGGCUGGUUAACACAAGGCUAUUAAGGGGUCUCCUGAAACCUGGGCUGCCGGUCGUUAAUCGGGUCAGCUGGUGGUGACCCACGGGUAACUGCCCUGCCACUGAGCCCGGAUGAGAAGGAGGUUUCCAAGGAUGUGCUGGGGUCCGGCACACAGGCCAGGCUUGCCUGCGGAAGAAACCCUGAGGGGGGGUGUCCAGGGGGUGUGUCUGGAAGAGGGGAGCUGGAGCAGAGCCAUUUUGAAAACCUUGGCCUGGAGACUUGGUAUUUGAAUCCACUGGAGCUACGGACCGCAUAAGAUGUUUCUUGGGGGGCUAGGCUGGAAAACACAGCAGAGUGGAAAGAGAUGUGGAUGUCCUGGAUGCAUUCCAGUCCCCCGAAAAGUUAAACACGCCUGUUAAAGACAAAACCUGCGUUAGCUCAGGCUGCAGCCUGCAUGGGAGAUGUCAGACCUGAGCUGAGUGUGGCAGAGACCUCCAGGGGCUUGGGCUUUUCCCUGCUGAUACCCUAACUCAUCUCCCCCACUGAUGUGCCCCGUUCCCUCACUUCUGAAACGUGGGCUGAGAGGACGCACCUCCUGCCUCUCUCAUGGGAGUGUUAUAAAGAUUAAUGAUGCAGACCUCGGGGCUCCUCAUGGGAGGCUGUGUACAACUGUUAACUUUUCAGCAUACCACUCUCCGUGAUGUUUCCCAUAUAGACCUGUCAGCUUCCCUGAAACACAGCAGAGAGCGGAUAGUUAUACAAUUUACCAUGUCCUCGGGAUGCGGGGCUGUGCCAAGGGCUUUGAUGCAGACUGCGCCGUAAGCUCCACUCCCCGGUGGACCAGAAGGGCUUCUGAGUGCUGUCCGGGGGAGGGGAUUACUGGCUGGAGAAUACAGGGGCCAGCAUACACGAGCAAAGUGAAGCAAGAAAAG